UAGGGAAUCUUCGGCAAUGGACGAAAGUCUGACCGAGCAACGCCGCGUGAGUGAAGAAGGUUUUCUGAUCGUAAAACUCUGUUGGUAGAGAAGAACGUUGGUGAGAGUGGAAAGCUCAUCAAGUGACGGUAACUACCCAGAAAGGGACGGCUAACUACGUUCCAG
Molecule: ribosomal RNA, 165 nt
Filed under: uncultured bacterium
Lineage: Bacteria
Description: partial 16S ribosomal RNA
Rfam family: Bacterial small subunit ribosomal RNA
Source: RNAcentral